RNAcentral lists this ribosomal RNA (490 nucleotides) under uncultured bacterium. Its description in RNAcentral is "partial 16S ribosomal RNA". It matches the Rfam family "Bacterial small subunit ribosomal RNA", at positions 30 to 507 of the family's 1533-position model. The record is from RNAcentral.
AUUGAACGCUGGCGGCAGGCCUAACACAUGCAAGUCGAACGGAAACAUGAAGAAGCUUGCUUCUUUGCUGUCGCGUGGCGCGCGGGAGUGAAAUGUCUGGGAAACUGCUUUAAGGCGGGGGUUAACUCCUGGAACCGGUAGCUAAUACCGCUUAACGUUGGAAGACCAAAAAGCGGGAGUUAAAGGCCUUUUUCCAUUCGAUGUGACCAGAAGGGAUUAGCUAGUAGGUAGGGUAACGGCUCACCUAGGCGACGAUCCAUAGCCGGUCUGAGAGGAUGACCAGCCACACUGGAACUGAGACACGGUCCAGACUCCUACGGGAGGCAGCAGUGGGGAAUAUUGCGCAAAGGGCGCAAGCUUGACGGAGCCAUGCCGCGUGUGUGAUGAAGGCCUUCGGGUUGUAAAGUACUGUCAUCGGGGAGGAAGGAAGUAGAGUGAAUACCUGUGCUUAUUGACGGUACCCGCAGAAGAAGCACCGGCUAACUACGUG